UAAGCACUAUGUCAGUCGUUUUUUCUUCUUCUAUGUUAUAGUCACGCUUUCCUUUGUGCUUCCAUUGUAUCACAAUGUGAACUUGACCUUUGUGUUGUGUCAAGGUUCCAAGAACUAAGUUCUAUACUGGAACCGGGAAGGACAUCCAAAACCGACAAGGCUAUUAUAUUGAGUGAUUGCAUCCGAAUGGUUAAUCAGUUGAGGGAGGAAGCUAGGAAACUGAAGGAUUCGCAUGAUAUUUUGCAAGAUAAGAUGAAUGAAUUGAAGGUGUGCUCGCUUAAAAUCUCUUCUGCCUCUUGUUUGGGAAUUAAAUUGGAUGACUGCAAUCUUUUCUAAAAGGAACAAUUGCAUGUGUAUCCUUUUAUAAUCUUGAAUCAUGCUGGAGUUAAUUUUGUAGGCCGAGAAGAAUGAACUCCGAGAUGAGAAGCAGAAGCUGAAGGCAGAGAAGGAGGUACUUGAACAGCAAGUGAAAGGUUUACACACUCAGCCAGGCUUCUUACCCCCUGCAGUAGUUUCUUCUCCAUUUGCAGGCGCUGGACAAUUUUUUGGUGGCAAGAUGGUGCCGUUUAUGGGUUAUCCCGGAGUUCCCAUGUGGCAAUUUACACCCCCUGCUGCAGUCGACACAACGCAUGAUCAUGUACUCCAUUCUCCAGUUGCUUAAGUUUAACCCCUACCAUGGACAUAAAAUUACCCAAAGACAGGAUGAACUAUCUUGCUCUGAAUCUCUUUUUUUUGCCUUUUACUUCUAUGUGUAGCUCCGUAAAAUGUCAUUGGCUAAUUGCUUUUGUAGACUUUGUAGCUAAAACUCAACUGCAAUCCUGUA
Molecule: long non-coding RNA, 823 nt
Filed under: Daucus carota (carrot)
Lineage: Eukaryota; Viridiplantae; Streptophyta; Magnoliopsida; Apiales; Apiaceae
Description: long non-coding RNA (DCAR_LNC001552)
Source: RNAcentral